Molecule: ribosomal RNA, 253 nt
Filed under: uncultured bacterium
Lineage: Bacteria
Description: partial 16S ribosomal RNA
Rfam family: Bacterial small subunit ribosomal RNA
Source: RNAcentral
GACCGAGGAGGCAAGCGUUAUCCGGAAUUAUUGGGCGUAAAGCGUUCGUAGGUGGUUUGACAAGUCUGGGGUUAAAGCCCGGAGCCCAACUCCGGAUCGGCCCUGGAAACUGUCAGACUUGAGUAAGGUAGGGGUUGCGGGAAUUCCCGGUGUAGCGGUGAAAUGCGUAGAUAUCGGGAAGAACACCAGCGGCGAAAGCGCGCAACUGGGCCAUUACUGACACUGAGGGACGAAAGCUAGGGGAGCGAAUGGU